GCGGGUAUAGUAUAUCGGUUAUUAUGUCAGUUUUCCAAACUGAAGAGGCGAGUUCGAUUCUCGCUACCCGCU
This 72-nucleotide transfer RNA is filed under the name Candidatus Doudnaibacteriota bacterium. RNAcentral describes it as "Candidatus Doudnabacteria bacterium tRNA-Gly". It matches the Rfam family "tRNA". From Rfam's summary of the family: Transfer RNA (tRNA) molecules are approximately 80 nucleotides in length. Their secondary structure includes four short double-helical elements and three loops (D, anti-codon, and T loops). The record is from RNAcentral. Lineage: Bacteria; Candidatus Doudnaibacteriota.